AAUAUUGGGCAAUGGACGCAAGUCUGACCCAGCCGAUCCCGCGUGCAGGACGAAUGCCNNNGGGUUGUAAACUGCUUUUGUUUGGGAAGAAAUGUAUUCUUUUAAGAGUAUUUGACGGUACCAGACGAAUAAGCACC
Molecule: ribosomal RNA, 137 nt
Filed under: uncultured bacterium
Lineage: Bacteria
Description: partial 16S ribosomal RNA
Rfam family: Bacterial small subunit ribosomal RNA
Source: RNAcentral